This 638-nucleotide unclassified non-coding RNA is filed under the name Hevea brasiliensis (rubber tree). Lineage: Eukaryota; Viridiplantae; Streptophyta; Magnoliopsida; Malpighiales; Euphorbiaceae. The record is from RNAcentral.
AAAAAUAAUCAUCAAUAUUUGAUUAAAUUCUUUCUCCCUUUUCACUUCUCAGCCAAUCAUUUGAAAAUUUCUCUACGCUGCACCGCUCCAAUUUCUCUCACAGCUACAGUUUUGCUUAAUCGGCCAAAGAACUUUGACUGCUGUUAUUCGAUUUCCCAUUUUUGCUGCUGCUUCUUCUCGGAAGGACCCACCCUGAUUUCUUCAUCAGAAUUGGAGGUAAUUUUUUCCCCUUACUCUUUUAAAUCGUCAUUCUGCGAAUUUGGGACUCAAUUUGAUCGACUUUGCAUCUGGGUAAUUGGGAAAUCAUGUUUUUUGCUCAGUUAAGCGCAGGUUUUUGACACUAUGGUGUGUUAAUGCUGAGUUUGAUAAGUAUUGUGGUAUGCAAAUUUUCAGAAUGCGUUAAUUCUCUUCAUGAGAGCCCUAGUAGAUGAAUCCCUGCAAAUUUUCAGAAUGCGUUAAUUCUCUUCAUGAGAGCCCUAGUAGAUGAAUCCCUUUUGCACCAUAUAUAUUAAUGUUUAUGCUCAUAGUAUUGGUUGCAUUAUGCGUGUCAGCAAUUGGAGAUUCUUGUUAUUAAUGGCGGAUCUCAAAGAGCGCCUGCUUCCACCAAAACCUGCGUCUGCUAUAAAUCUAAGAGAUGC